AUCCCUUGGUUUGACUUGCACUCUUCCCCCGCCAUCAGUUGUCUAGUCAUUAUGGCGGAAUGUAAAAAGUCUAUCUCAUGUCCCUCUCCAGCUUCAGUAAUGACCUCUCUAGCUAGAGCUUUGUCCCAUUCAAGGUUGAGUCAACCUGAUCAGUCUGUGUUCAAGUCGCAUACUUCUGUUUACCGGAGCAAUGUGGUACAGCCAGGCCGACGGAGGAGGUUGUCGAGCAGCAACAGUGUUGAGUCUCUGGAUGUGAGCCCCUGUGCUGAAGCGCGAGUCUUGGUCAUCAACACCGGAGGAACAAUCGGGAUGAUGUACCAUAAUAACGUGCUGUGCCCAGAGCCUAAUGUGUUUGUGAAGGCCCUGCGAAAGCUUCCCAACCUCCAUGAUGAGCAGUAUGCCCUGCAGACCCGUAUGUACGACUACUACAGCACGAGUGACCCACAGGAGAACACCCUUGUCCUGCCGAUGCCGACCGACCUCGCUGAUGAACUAUCAAAAAGGCUGUGUAAACAAAAUAAGAGGAUAGUGUACACUGUUUUAGAGUACAGCCCCUUGCUGGACUCUUGCAAUAUGACCACAGAUGAUUGGGCUACAAUUGGGAAGGACAUUGAGAAACACUAUGAGAAGUAUGACGGUUUUGUCAUUCUCCACGGCACGGACACCAUGGCCUACACAGCAUCCGCUCUGUCCUUCAUGUGUGAGCAUCUGGGGAAGCCUGUCAUCCUCACCGGCUCCCAGGUGCCGAUCUAUGAGAUGAGGAACGAUGGAAGAGACAACCUGUUGGGGGCGCUGCUGAUCGCUGGUCAUUUUGUCAUUCCUGAGGUUUGUUUGUAUUUCCACCACAAGCUGUACCGGGGGAACCGUGUAACCAAGGUGGAUUCUGGGAGUUUCAAUGCCUUCAAUUCUCCUAACUUGGCUCCUCUGGCCAUUGCUGAAGUGGAUAUUAAAAUUAACUGGGACACGGUGUGGCGAGUGAACACAACCACACGGUUCAGAGUGAGCACUCUGAUGAACCGUAAUGUGGGUCUGCUGAGACUCUUCCCAGGCAUCACUGCAGUGACCGUGAAGUCCUUCCUGCAGGCGCCCAUGGAGGGCAUUGUCCUGGAGACGUAUGGUAGUGGAAACGCCCCUGAUAACUGUGCUGACCUGCUUGAGGAGUUCCGAAAUGCCACAGAGAGGGGCGUGAUCAUGGUCAACUGCACCCAGUGUCUGAGGGGUUCUGUCACCACAUCGUACGCCACUGGAAAGGCCUUGAGUGACGCAGGACUGGUGGCAGGCUGUGACAUGACUCCUGAGGCUGCCCUGUGCAAGCUGUCCUACGUGCUGGCCAGGACGGACCUCAGCAUAGAGGCCAAAAGAAAGAUGCUGAGUCAGAACCUGCGGGGAGAGAUGAUGGCUGACCUGCAGGGGGCCAAGCUCACUCUGAGUGACAGUCGCUUCAUCCAGGUCAUCGCCAAGUCCCUGAGCAUCAGCUGUAAGGAGGAGAUAGAAGCCGUCCGGGAUGCUCUGACACCCACCUUAGCUUGUGCCGCUUCUAAGAUAGGAGACUUGGAGGCCUUGGAUGCCAUAAAGGAGAUGGGCAGUAACUUAAGUCUGGGGGACUAUGAUGGUCGUACCCCUCUGCACAUCGCUUCCUGUGAGGGCCACCUCAAUGUGGUGCAGUAUCUACUGAGCCAGGGUGCCACUGUCUACGCCAAAGAUCGCUAUGGGGACACACCCCUGCGCAAUGCUGUGCGCUUCAGACACAAAGAGGUGGUGAAGCUGCUGAGAAAGACUGGAGCUCAUUUCUCCAGGGAUGAGUUGGAGGAUGCCGGCUCAGAGCUGUGCAGUUUGGCAGCCAGUGCUGACAUCAAGGGCCUGGAGAUGUGGCACCUGGCCGGGGGAGACCUGGACACGCCAGGCUACGACGGGCAGACGCCGAUGGAGGUGAUGCACAAUUGAGAGCAUCCUGUUGGACUGUAUAUCACCACCUGGUACGGCAACUGCACCGCCCGCAACCGCAGGGCUCUCCAGAGGGUGGUGCGGUCUGCCCAAUGCAUUACCGUUAAGUACCUGACCUCCAGGACACCCACAGCACCCGAUAUCACAGGAAGGCCAAAACGAUCAUCAAGGACAACAACCACCCGAGCCAGUGCCUGUUCAUCCAGAAGUUGAGGCUAAGGCUGUGGGGAAUGAAGUUGUGAUUGACUUCAUACACCAGGUCAGCCAGUCCCACGCCCAGAAUGAAGAAUACAUUGAGUUCUCAGCCUGUCCAAAAGAAUCCUGAAGACGAAGAUCCUCAACUCUUUUACCUCUCCAUCCAUCCCCAUCACUCUCCCUCUCUCUUUCCAUUUCACUCUCUUACACUGGACAUUUGCACAAGCUUGCAGAUUUUAUUUAGAUUCAUCCAAACCAUUUUACAAUUGAUAUGUUUGCGAUAAUCUCAUUUACUGUUGCUUAACUGUAGUUGUAAAAGCACUAGUAGCACAACAUUGGAUGUCAAGUGAUAUGGAUGCACUGUGCCUAGAACGGGCAGCACUAUAUCUGUUUGUUUUGUAUGUACCACAGUAUAUGAUGCAUGUGGAGCAAUUCACCCGGUUUGCAUUAAGAGUAUUAUCAGUGAUCAUUGGAAGCACAGGGUAGAAUGCUGUACUUUAUGCUAGGCACUUGAUGGGUAGAAUGCUGUGCCUUUAGAUGUACUUGAUGAAAUGCUUAGUAUUGAGUGCAAUUUAUUCUAAACUGAAAUCCUUGUGAAAUCCUUCUAAACUGAAAUCAUGGGCUGAUGACACAAAAAUAGAACCGUUUGCCCAUAAUGACCAUCGUUAUGUUUGGAGGAAAAAGGGUGAUGCUUGCAAGCCGAAGAACACCAUCCCAACCGCGAAGCACGCGGGUGGCAGCAUCAGGU
This is a non-coding RNA of Oncorhynchus mykiss (rainbow trout), 2887 nucleotides long. Lineage: Eukaryota; Metazoa; Chordata; Actinopteri; Salmoniformes; Salmonidae. The record is from RefSeq and is a predicted model, not a curated record.